AUGAUUUAUUAUAGUUGAUAAUAAUACGAUAUUAAAAGCUUAAAAUAUAGCAAAGUUUUUUUACAACACAACUUUGUAAGACUAACGCCCGUAUUCUAAAAGCUCACUCACAUUCACACUCAAUGAGUGGAGGUUCAAUCUGAGCUUCUCUUGAGUGUCAAUGCUGUUUUUGAAUAGCUGGAGGGUGAGUAGUCACCGAGUAAGGUAUGAUACUAGCCCUCCAGAUUGAACCUCCACUCAUUGAAUGUGAGCUUUUAGAAUACGGGCGUAAGAGUCUCUAUCUUAAAUAAAACCGUACAAAUAUCAUAUAGAUAAAUACUAUAGCUAAGGUUAGUGCUACAGAUGGUGGUCAACCUGCAUUUAUCAGAGUGAGAAAAUGGGGCUAAUUUACUGUGGCAAGUAGGGUAUAGAUUUUGGGACAAUGCCUGAAAUAGGGGAUAGAAACUCGUUUGUAUUUUUGUGGCAAAAAGUACUUAAUAGACUGGUGGCUCUCCACCCCACCGAAAAAUUGAGGAGCACUUCCAGGAAAUAGAAUCGAUAGAUGUGGUUGAGAACUCUCAUGUAAGUAAACUCUCGCUUCUCAACUCUGAUCAAUUCAUCCUUCUGGAAAGUUCUCAGUCUUGGCUAUAAAGCCUCGUUUUCGUGAUUGAGUUUAGAGCCCUUUAUUUUGUUACAGGUGACACAUUUACGAAACCAUACAGUUAUAUAGUGAAUAUAAAUCUCAAACAUGGAAACGAGGCUCAAUAGCCAAACUAAGUACUUUCCAGAAGGGUGUAUUCUCUUUCCAGAAGGGUGUAUUCCAGGGCCGUAGCCACGAGGGGGAGGGGCUAUGGGGCUGCAGCCACCCCCAAUAUUUCGCUAAUAAUCAUUCUUUUUUUUAAAUCAUGCAAACUUCAAAAUCAUCAGGCUAUAACGCUGUUUUCUGACCUUCUGAAUUCUGUCAAAUCUUCCCCAAAGUCCAGGAAAUCGCAUAUUCAGAGACUCUGAAUUCAAAAAUUUCCCCUAUAAAGUCUCGCGCCUGCGGCGUUCGACUCGGUCCUCAUUUUCAGCCCCCCC
Non-coding RNA from Paramuricea clavata, 1056 nucleotides. Lineage: Eukaryota; Metazoa; Cnidaria; Anthozoa; Malacalcyonacea; Plexauridae. The record is from the annotation of a GenBank genome assembly.